This 65-nucleotide transfer RNA is filed under the name Tullbergia mixta. RNAcentral's name for it is "tRNA-Thr". The record is from RNAcentral. Lineage: Eukaryota; Metazoa; Arthropoda; Collembola; Poduromorpha; Tullbergiidae.
GACGCUAUAGUUUAAACUUUUAAAACAUUGAUCUUGUAAAUCAAAAUUUGGCCCUCAUUGUGUCA